RNAcentral lists this unclassified non-coding RNA (330 nucleotides) under soil metagenome. RNAcentral describes it as "partial contains 5.8S ribosomal RNA, internal transcribed spacer 2, and large subunit ribosomal RNA". The stretch from base 1 to 121 matches the Rfam family "5.8S ribosomal RNA", at positions 35 to 154 of the family's 154-position model. The record is from RNAcentral.
GAUGAAGAACGCAGCGAAAUGCGAUAAGUAAUGUGAAUUGCAGAAUUCAGUGAAUCAUCGAAUCUUUGAACGCAUAUUGCGCCCCUUGGUUAUUCCGGGGGGCAUGCCUGUUCGAGCGUCAUUAUAACCCCUCAAGCUCAGCUUGGUGUUGGGGCCUGCUGCACUGGCAGCCCUUAAAAUCAGUGGCGGCGCCAUCUGGCUCUAAGCGUAGUAAUUCUUCUCGCUAUGGAGUCCUGGUGGAUGCUUGCCAUCAACCCCCAAUUUUUCUAUGGUUGACCUCGGAUCAGGUAGGGAUACCCGCUGAACUUAAGCAUAUCAAUAAGCGGAGGA